UGUGAUGUAUUUUUUAUUUAUUUAUAAU
RNAcentral lists this non-coding RNA (28 nucleotides) under Rattus norvegicus (Norway rat). The record is from RNAcentral. Lineage: Eukaryota; Metazoa; Chordata; Mammalia; Rodentia; Muridae.